This 69-nucleotide transfer RNA is filed under the name Urocitellus parryii (Arctic ground squirrel). RNAcentral describes it as "Spermophilus parryii (Arctic ground squirrel) tRNA". It matches the Rfam family "tRNA". From Rfam's summary of the family: Transfer RNA (tRNA) molecules are approximately 80 nucleotides in length. The record is from Rfam by way of RNAcentral. Lineage: Eukaryota; Metazoa; Chordata; Mammalia; Rodentia; Sciuridae. RNAcentral also lists the same sequence under 1 other name.
GGGGUUGUAGCUUAGUGGUAGAGUGUUUGCCUAGCAAGUAUGAGGCCCUGGGUUCAAUCCUCAGUACCA